This 275-nucleotide ribosomal RNA is filed under the name uncultured Alkaliflexus sp. RNAcentral's name for it is "partial 16S ribosomal RNA". It matches the Rfam family "Bacterial small subunit ribosomal RNA", at positions 338 to 610 of the family's 1533-position model. The record is from RNAcentral. Lineage: Bacteria; Pseudomonadati; Bacteroidota; Bacteroidia; Marinilabiliales; Marinilabiliaceae.
CCUACGGGGGGCUGCAGUGAGGAAUAUUGGUCAAUGGGCGAAAGCCUGAACCAGCCAUGUCGCGUGCAGGAAGACGGCCCUAUGGGUUGUAAACUGCUUUUGUAUGGGAAGAAACGACGGUACGAGUACUGUUUUGCCGGUACCAUACGAAUAAGGAUCGGCUAACUCCGUGCCAGCAGCCGCGGUAAUACGGAGGAUCCAAGCGUUAUCCGGAUUUAUUGGGUUUAAAGGGUGCGUAGGCGGGAGAUUAAGUCAGUGGUGAAAGUUUGCGGCUC